UUUUUUUUGAAAUUCUCCCUGGAUAACUCAGGUCAUCGGCAUGUUAUCCAGUCAUGGGCUUAAAGACAUCGUGUCCCUUAUCCAGUCACGGGCUCAAAGACAUCGUGUCCCUAGACAUCCAGGCCUUAGAUCCCUGUGUUUACUUUUCAUAGACGUUGUCUCUUCCCUCACUGCCGACUGCCCAACAAAACCAAGGUCAAGCUCAGGCCACCAAGAUGAAAUCCUUAAUUUUCCUGUUCAGAUCUGCCAUAGUACUAAAAAGCAAGGUGACAUGCUUAUUAGAGCAUGUCCUAAAUAAGGAGACAAAGGAGGCGGGGCUAUGCGAGAAGCUCGGGCAUCAGGUUUCUUCUGAGAAUUAUCACAAAGUUCAAAGCCUGGGCAUGGUAGCACGGAUCUGUAAUCCCAAGACUCAAAGGGCUAAGAAACAGGAGAACCAAAGCCAGUGUGGGGUGUGUGUGUGUGUGUGUGUGUGUGUGUGUGUGUGUAUACACACACAUAUACCUAGAUGGCAUAUAUUUAUAUAUGUACAUGUAUAUACAUAUGUACAUAUAUAUAUAAUAUUUAUUCUCAUGUGUAUCUUAUAUGAUUAUUUUGUUUAUGUACAUAUAUACUUAGACAUACACACAUAAUUAAAGGCAGUUUAAUUUUGUUGUGUGCACCGGUAAUCCCAGCAAGGGGGAGGCAGGCUGAGGUAGAAUUAUUGUCAUGAGUUUGAAGUCACCCUGGGCUGCAUAAUUAGUAGCAGACCAGCUAGGGAUAAAGAGCAAAGCCCUGUCUCAAAUAAACACAAUUAAUUAAAUUGAAAUAUAAAAAUAAUAAUAUAUUCUCAAACUGCCCGUGAUAUUGGUAACAUACAAGUGAAUACACUAAAACCCAGUGAAUUGUACCCACAGUGAGCAGAUGGGUUGUACAGGGCGUGCCUGAUCUCCGUACAGCUGCAAAAGAAAGCAGAGUGGGACAGGCAAGGGUGGGGGGGAGAGAAGGAAGCUCUCUCGUAUGCACAUGCAUUGCUCAGAAAAUUUUCCAUGUUGUCUCCAAGUUGGCUGACUUCCAGCCCACGGGGUUGUAGGAGGUGAACUCUGCCAGUGUCAGGGUCAGAUAAGGUAAAGAAUGGAACGGGAUGAGCGCUUCAGCUGAUGCUGGGUCUGGCCAAGCAGUUUAUUUUUCUUACACAUCUUAAACAUGGUAAACUUUGGGAAAAAGUCUUCACGUGACAAUAAAAUUUCAUGGAUGGCUACAUCAAAACUCCCUGGCAUCUCUAUAGCAAAGCACCUGUGCCCUUUAGCUUAGGAAUGAGUUCUACUGACGGAUAAGCAGUGCUCAGGGAUCUGGACCAAGGGAUGGAAGAGUUUGUAAUAAGCAUAUAAAUGGGUUCCAUUAACAGAGAAUGCCAAGUACGUGAGCCCUCUGUCAUAAGGAUGGAUUCUAUUCACUGAGCGACAAAGCUCUGAAUCCGGGCCUAAAAAGUGCUCAGGACUUAGGGGGAUUCAGGUGAAGCCUGGCUCCAUAGAGUAGCAAAAGAUCACUAGGCUGUUGGACAGCAUCCACUCUAACCUGCGUGAACAGGCUUCAGUCAUUUCUGCAUGUUUAAAAUUCUGUUUUUUUUUUUUAAUGGUUUCUGUAAGCUGUGUCUUCCAUAUACUAGAAAACACAUGUGAGCCUCAAAGGGGUCAUACAACCCUCUGGCAACUCCAGAGCACUCUAGUCUGGGCUUGCCUCCAAACUUUCCAUAGCUCAUCCUCCCUCCUUCGGACCCUCACCCACCCACCCACCAGCUAGCAGAAACAUAGCUGUUGUCAGAGACAGAGGGCCCUCAGUGAGUGGUCCUACUGUUUACAGAUCUGGCCCUGACCUACAAAAUUAGCAGCCUUGAGUUGGUCCCCAGCUCCACCAGGGUGGAGUCUGAACCCCACCCUUUUCCAAGAGCUGGCAGUCCUGCAUGGCAGGCUGCCAGGUGCUCAUCUUUCCUGCUCACAGCUCAGCUUCUGGUUUGUGCCUCCACACUAAAUCUAAAGAGAGUUGUGGGUGUUUUGUUUUGCCUAAAGAAGAGAAGCCAGGCAUAGCAUCCUUAAAAGAGCCUUCUCCAAGGUCCUCGGGUACCAGAAUAGCCAGAGUGUGGGACAGGCAUGUGUCCCAAAUGGAAAGCCCCAUUUUAUGUCACAGUUGGAAACACAAACUCACAGACUGGGGGUCUGGAGACCUGCUGCUGCUUUCAGACCUGUGUCCCAAGGGUCCUUGUCACUGUUUACCUCAGGGAUCACUGAUGGAUGGGGAGCUGGAAAUGCUGGUAUCUGAGUGACUACAUGAAGGCACCGGCACCGAACAGUGAAGUAGAGACAAUUCUCAUGUGAGCAAACUCAGCCCCAGGUGGCGUUGGGACAUCUGACCAACAGUCAAGGGGCCAGGUGCCUUUCAGAAAUGAAGCCAUGGUUGGCUUCCCUCCACAUGUCACUCAGAAGCAGCAACAGUUACAUCUGAGGAAACAGCAUCAGGUGUCACUUCAGAGGGCAGGACAAUGUCUUGGUUAAAGUAUGGGAUCACAGGACAUGCCCCGUCACUUACUGUGUCCUAGUGUAAGUUGACUCAACUCCCAAGAGCUCUUCUUGCCUAGUCAGCCAAGUUGGGGCCCCAAGAGCACCCACUCCCUGGUUAAUAUGAGGAGGAAGAAAGGAAUGCAAACCGGGAGGCCAAGGACGUGGCUCACUGUCAGGAUCCAGCAGCAGUACGUGCUAUUGCUGCCCAUCUCAGCAGCAGCAGGAGGCCAAGUGGCAACAUUUACAGGGUGAACUAUGACAUAGGCAUGUCCUGAGCCUUUGCAUAUGCCAAUUCCCUCAUUCUUCAAAAUGUCCCAUAAAGACUGACCGUCAUCAUCCCCGCUUCAAAUGAGGAAGAAGCUGGGGCCCAGAGAGGUUGCUUAUUUUGCGCAGAGUCACAGAGCAUGCUAGUGAGUGGCAGAACCCAGAUGUCCUGAAUGAAGUGGCAGUGGGGAGGUAGGAUACCUUUCCUCUGCUGACACCCACAGAGCUCCAGUGUGGCUAAGGCCUAGGCUGUACCCUGAGAAGGCCGUGAGAGGCAGAUGGAGUCCCCAAGUCAGGGAGUCAGAUGAUACAAACCAAGAAACUUCCACCUAGCAGCAAGCGGCUGAGUGCAUUUCCAGAGUUUGCAGCCGACUCUUGGAGACCAUGGCGUGUCAUUUGGAUCGAGAGUAACAAAGCUUCCAUUUUGCCCUGGGCCUGGGCUCUGAUGGGAAACUACAGGCUCCCUCCGCAGCCGUCUAUGGAAACUGGCCUCAGACACUUAUUAUUCCUGGUAAUACCAAAUGCCAGGGGCUCCUGCUUUCAUUAUGAAGGCCCAGAAUGCCCUAUUCACAGCACAUAGAAGGCCCCGCAGAGCAUUCAGUCCCCGAGGCCAGCCCUUGCUAUGCCAGGGCAGUGCAGACAAGGGAUGCCAUAGUCUGCAUCCUUUCAUUCCCAGGAUGAACAUGGCACUAGGUCUGGGGCCUCCUACCUCCAAACACAAGGAUGGCACUCAGUGGCUAGUGAUGACCCUUCCUUCAGGGGCUCCAUGCCCAUCUGAGGAAAGCAGAAACUGAGCUUACAGAUGGCCAAGCUCUGCCCCUGCCUUUUUAUGCAAGUACCAACUUCAUCCAUCCAAGGAAAUGCCAAAAUCCUAUCCUGCCAAGAAAAAAGGGAACCAGCUGGCUUCUGAACUAGGCUGGGUCAAAUGGCAGAGACUGUGAGAACCUGGAAGGUCCCGGAAGGGUGACACUAGGGACAGAAUCCUGCCCUUCAUCUCAACCCCAGAAGCAGCUCCUAGCCACUGCCUAAUCCAACUUUGCCUGGUGACCCCAGUCCCACAACAUCAUUCUACUGUCUGUGUCACCUAGAGAUGGCGACUGUCCCAACGUCUCUGGGAAAUCUCUCCCUCAUUUGUCUUCUGGGCUCUCUAUGAGCCAUGUAGCCAACUCCUCACAUUAAAAUCCUAGAUCCAGUA
Molecule: long non-coding RNA, 3993 nt
Organism: Mus musculus (house mouse)
Lineage: Eukaryota; Metazoa; Chordata; Mammalia; Rodentia; Muridae
Product: predicted gene, 39069
Exons: 2
Source: RefSeq, a predicted model, not a curated record